This 686-nucleotide long non-coding RNA is filed under the name Calidris pugnax (ruff). RNAcentral's name for it is "lncRNA (ENSCPUG00000003120.1)". Lineage: Eukaryota; Metazoa; Chordata; Aves; Charadriiformes; Scolopacidae. The record is from RNAcentral.
AGGUGUAACAUGGAUUACAACCAUACUGUGGUGGACAUCUGAGUCAGACAGCUCUUGGGUGAAGUUUUUGUGAAGUGAAUGGAUGAGGCUGAGAAGGAAAGAGGAAGGAUUCUGUGGAAUCAAGAAGUGAUCUGACUGCUCAAAAGGUGAUAAAGAAGAGAAAUAAGCAUGCGUAAGCCAGGAUCUUUUAAUGAAUUGGAAGUACUUAACCAAAUCAUCAGGACUAGGAGCCUACCUACUCUGUACCCUGGAGAAGAACUUCCAAAGGAUGCUUCAUUCUACUGCAGAUCUGAGGAUCACUCUGCACCCUGAAAUGCAAAAUUCGUGGUGGGGGCAAAGAAAAGGAAACCUGACUAUGAAGGCCAGUGCAUUAUACACACAGAAGCCAUUUGCAGAAUUUGGCUAUUUUAAUUCCUAUCUAAAUAAUAAAGGAUGGCAACUAGAAGACAGAUCCUCCACAUCCUUCACACAUACACUGAUCAUCAAGGCAAAGCAUAGACUGAACUCAGAAAAGUUGGGUUUAUGUUUGUACCAGUGUUUACAAGACCUUCUUUGACAGCUCUUCCUGGAUCAGCAUCUUUCUCCAGGACUUUGGCACAACUUGGGCAGCGCGAAACCAUUCUGCUUCAGUCCAGACCGUGCUGGUAAGAUCCAUGGGCCAAGUCAGCGUGCCCCUGUGUACAUGA